RNAcentral lists this ribosomal RNA (449 nucleotides) under uncultured bacterium. RNAcentral describes it as "bacterial SSU rRNA". It matches the Rfam family "Bacterial small subunit ribosomal RNA", at positions 329 to 795 of the family's 1533-position model. The record is from RNAcentral.
GCCCAGACUCCUACGGGAGGCAGCAGUGGGGAAUAUUGCACAAUGGGGGAAACCCUGAUGCAGCGACGCCGCGUGAGUGAAGAAGUAUUUCGGUAUGUAAAGCUCUAUCAGCAGGGAAGAAAAUGACGGUACCUGACUAAGAAGCCCCGGCUAACUACGUGCCAGCAGCCGCGGUAAUACGUAGGGGGCAAGCGUUAUCCGGAUUUACUGGGUGUAAAGGGAGCGUAGACGGCGAUGCAAGCCAGAUGUGAAAGCCCGGGGCUCAACCCCGGGACUGCAUUUGGAACUGUGUGGCUGGAGUGUCGGAGAGGCAGGCGGAAUUCCUAGUGUAGCGGUGAAAUGCGUAGAUAUUAGGAGGAACACCAGUGGCGAAGGCGGCCUGCUGGACGAUGACUGACGUUGAGGCUCGAAAGCGUGGGGAGCAAACAGGAUUAGAUACCCCCGUAAAC